This 309-nucleotide ribosomal RNA is filed under the name Triticum aestivum (bread wheat). RNAcentral describes it as "partial small subunit ribosomal RNA". Lineage: Eukaryota; Viridiplantae; Streptophyta; Magnoliopsida; Poales; Poaceae. The record is from RNAcentral.
AUGAAUGAAUGUUUCGUGAGCAGCUCACUGAAGGAGGUCAAUUAUGAUUUUACCAACAGUUGGAGAUACUUGCUUAUUCUGAAUUCACAGAGUUUCAUUCGUUUCAAUACUAUGAUUGUCGCUCUCACUAUGCCUAACUGCAUUGGGAGUAUCAUCCUCUUUGAUUGUCUUGCACUGCAGAAUUGUUGUACAGAACAAAUUUAUAGGUGGUAUAAGUUGUUUCUCCUCUUAACUAUGUAUAUAUGGAACAAUGAUCACACAUAUUACCUUGAACUAUAUUCUCUUCACAUUUAUGCAUAUAUUUUCUAG